UCUCAGGCUGUGACUCUCCAGAGGGAUGCACUUUCUCUUAUGUGAAAAAAAAAGAAGGCGCAUCCCUUUAGAGCGUUACGGUUUGGGU
Molecule: non-coding RNA, 88 nt
Organism: Pongo abelii (Sumatran orangutan)
Lineage: Eukaryota; Metazoa; Chordata; Mammalia; Primates; Hominidae
Source: Rfam